UUACACAGCUGGACAGAGGCA
RNAcentral lists this microRNA (21 nucleotides) under Homo sapiens (human). Its description in RNAcentral is "hsa-miR-4672". Lineage: Eukaryota; Metazoa; Chordata; Mammalia; Primates; Hominidae. The record is from miRBase by way of RNAcentral.